GGUGUAGGUGGUUUUUCAAGUCGGAUGUGAAAUUUCUCGGCUUAACCGGGAAGGGUCAUUCGAUACUGUUAGACUAGAGGGCAGCAGAGGGAGAUGGAAUUCCCGGUGUAGUGGUGAAAUGCGUAGAUAUCGGGAGGAACACCAGUGGCGAAAGCGGUCUCCUGGGCUGUUCCUGACACUGAGGCCCUAAAGCGUGGGUAGCAAACA
RNAcentral lists this ribosomal RNA (207 nucleotides) under uncultured bacterium. RNAcentral describes it as "partial 16S ribosomal RNA". It matches the Rfam family "Bacterial small subunit ribosomal RNA", at positions 568 to 774 of the family's 1533-position model. The record is from RNAcentral.